This is a long non-coding RNA of Dalotia coriaria, 677 nucleotides long. RefSeq lists it as uncharacterized. The transcript has 5 exons. The record is from RefSeq and is a predicted model, not a curated record. Lineage: Eukaryota; Metazoa; Arthropoda; Insecta; Coleoptera; Staphylinidae.
UGUGUCUAGCGGGGGAACGGAAUUUCCUAGGACAACGAUUCUUUCAUCAGAUUGUGUCUAGCGGGGGAACGAAAUGUCCUAGGACAACGAUUCUUUCAUCAGAUUGUGUCUAGUGGACGAACGAAGUGUCAUAGACCAACGAUUCUUUCAUCAGUUUGUGUCUAGCGGAGAAACCCGAUGUCGUAGGACAACCAUUAUUUCAUGUGAUUCUAAAUAUUCUAGUUGUUUAGCAUUGUCAGAUACAACAUCUGUGUUUAAUACAUGGGAAAGCUGCAAAUGUGGUAUUUUACCACAGUACGAUAGAAGAAUGCCCCUCCAACUGCGGGCCGGUUAUCAAUUAUCUGGGCUGCUUAGUUCGACAUAGUUGGUUUAGCGCUGCUGUGUGGUGCGCACGUGUUUUGUUAAUUAAUCGAACAAGGUGACAAUUUCUCGCGUUUCUUGAUAUUUUGUAGCAUUACUAGAUUCGAUUGACAAUGAGAGGCAUUGAGUAGUAACCGCCCAGUGUAACGCACAACAAAUGAUUUGAGUGAUUCUUUGCGGCGCGUGCGUGAUGUCCGUCGGAUAUGUUCCGAUGACUAUGGAUACUUACUGGAGUCCAAGUUAAAUUUAAUUGUUAAACGUGAAUGCAAGUGAGUACAUUUGGAAUCUCCACGUAGAAUAGUAAAGAAGUGCGUAUC